This is a long non-coding RNA of Drosophila ananassae, 370 nucleotides long. RefSeq lists it as uncharacterized. The transcript is spliced from 2 exons. The record is from RefSeq and is a predicted model, not a curated record. Lineage: Eukaryota; Metazoa; Arthropoda; Insecta; Diptera; Drosophilidae.
UCUGAAUGGGUUAUAGGAAAGCAUACUAUAUACGAGUCUGGGGGGGGGUUUCAGGUUUCUUUGGCAUGCUACUGGAGGGGGGCAAACAAAAUCACAGAAACAAACAACGUGGCAAGCUAAACUGAAUAGAUACGGAUUUGAAUUCGUGCCUCCGGAUAGAUUAUCAUUGACUUUGACACGCGGCAUGCAGAUAAUUUGGUUCAAUGAUCACACACAAAUACACUCGAAUAUGGUAAUUUUUUGGCGCUUGACCGCUCCAGUUGGCUUACGUGCUCCGGCUACUGCUACUCGGUAGGACUGAGACUGAGACUGAGCGUGUUCUAAAAUUCAUUUAAAAUCAAUACGAAAAUAAACUGAUACUUGUCCGUAA